GAUGAACGCUGGCGGCGUGCUUAACACAUGCAAGUCGAGCGGGAAACCUUUUAUUGAAGCUUCGGCAGAUUUAGCUGGUUUCUAGUGGCGGCCGGGUGAGUAACGCGUGGGUAACCUGCCUUAUACAGGGGGAUAACAACCAGAAAUGGUUGCUAAUACCGCAUAAGCGCACAGGACCGCAUGGUCCGGUGGGAAAAACUCCGGUGGUAUAAGAUGGACCCGCGUUGGAUUAGCUAGUUGGCAGGGUAACGGCCUACCAAGGCGACGAUCCAUAGCCGGCCUGAGAGGGUGAACGGCCACAUUGGGACUGAGACACGGACCAGACUCCUACGGGAGGCAGCAGUGGGGAAUAUUGCACAAUGGGGGAAACCCUGAUGCAGCGACGCCGCGUGAAGGAAGAAGUAUCUCGGUAUGUAAACUUCUAUCAGCAGGGAAGAUAGUGACGGUACCUGACUAAGAAGCCCCGGCUAACUACGUG
RNAcentral lists this ribosomal RNA (478 nucleotides) under uncultured bacterium. Its description in RNAcentral is "partial 16S ribosomal RNA". It matches the Rfam family "Bacterial small subunit ribosomal RNA", at positions 28 to 507 of the family's 1533-position model. The record is from RNAcentral.